CAGCAACAUGGUUCAUCACCAAUCACACAUUCAUCAUUAUUUAUCAACCAAACCAAAUAAACAACAGCAUGGUAUUAUCUUCAUGGUAUCAACAAACAUUAAACAACAUGAUUCGACCACACCACCCAACAGCAUAGCCUUGACAAAUCAAUGAGGGUUUUAAAAAAUGCAGCAUGGUUUUCAUGGUGAUGCUCACACAGCCAACAAACAACAGCAUUCAGCAUAAAUCAAAUGGUUUUUUGGGCAAUGGUCAGGUUUGAACAGCAGGGCAAUGGAAAUCAAUCAUAAUCAAUUGAAAUUCAGCAUAGCAACAAAGUAUUCAUGUGUUCAUCAAACAUCUCAACAAAACAUACAACAGCACACAACAGCAUGGAUAUUAUGAGCAAGUUUGAAGUUGUCCAUCAGCAUGGGCAUAUGCAGCAAUGGUAUUCAUCAUCAUGUUUCAUCAUCAUCAAACCAAGCAAAACCAACACUAACAUGGCAAUGGUGAUGUUCCUACUGCAACUCAAACAACAGCAUACAUUCAUAUUUCAAAACUGCAACAGGAUUUUAGCAGCAUGGUAUAGCAGCAUCAAUUUCAUCAUCAUGUAACCAAAUGAAAUAAACAAACAGCAUUCAACACAAAUAAACAUAACAUGAAUCAAGGUGGAUUUCUGGACAUGUUCCUAGAGUUUUAAACAAGCAGCAACAUGGUU
RNAcentral lists this long non-coding RNA (695 nucleotides) under Lathyrus oleraceus (garden pea). RNAcentral's name for it is "Pisum sativum (pea) long non-coding RNA (PSAT_LNC004338)". Lineage: Eukaryota; Viridiplantae; Streptophyta; Magnoliopsida; Fabales; Fabaceae. The record is from RNAcentral.